GACGAACGCUGGCGGCGUGCUUAACACAUGCAAGUCGAACGGAAAGGCCCUGCUUGCCGGGUACUCGAGUGGCGAACGGGUGAGUAACACGUGGGUGAUCUGCCCUGCACUUCGGGAUAAGCUUGGGAAACUGGGUCUAAUACCGGAUAGGAACCAUCUUUAGUGUGGUGGUUGGAAAGUUUUUUCGGUAUAGGAUGAGCUCGCGGCCUAUCAGCUUGUUGGUGGGGUAAUGGCUACCAAGGCGGCGACGGGUAGCCGGCCUGAGAGGGUGUACGGCCACAUUGGGACUGAGAUACGGCCCAGACUCCUACGGGAGGCAGCAGUGGGGAAUAUUGCACAAUGGGCGCAAGCCUGAUGCAGCGACGCCGCGUGGGGGAUGAAGGCCUUCGGGUUGUAAACUCCUUUCGCUAGGGACGAAGCUUUGUUGUGACGGUACCUAGAUAAGAAGCACCGGCUAACUACGUG
This 465-nucleotide ribosomal RNA is filed under the name uncultured bacterium. RNAcentral describes it as "partial 16S ribosomal RNA". It matches the Rfam family "Bacterial small subunit ribosomal RNA", at positions 28 to 507 of the family's 1533-position model. The record is from RNAcentral.